CCGACGGUGAGGGGCGAAACCCUGGGGCGCAAACCGGAUUAGAUACCAGGGUAGUCCAGGGCGUAAACGCUGCAGGCUUGGUGUUGGGGACCCUACGAGGGUGCUCAGUGCCGGAGUGAAGAUGUUAAGCCUGCCGCUUGGGGAGUACGUCCGCAAGGAUGAAACUUAAAGGAAUUGGCGGGAGAGCACAGCAACGGGAGGAGCGUGCGGUUCAAUUGGAUUCAACGCCGUAAAACUCACCGGGAGC
Molecule: ribosomal RNA, 247 nt
Filed under: uncultured archaeon
Lineage: Archaea
Description: partial 16S ribosomal RNA
Rfam family: Archaeal small subunit ribosomal RNA
Source: RNAcentral